RNAcentral lists this ribosomal RNA (867 nucleotides) under uncultured archaeon. Its description in RNAcentral is "bacterial SSU rRNA". It matches the Rfam family "Archaeal small subunit ribosomal RNA", at positions 1 to 878 of the family's 1478-position model. The record is from RNAcentral.
CUCCGGUUGAUCCUGCCGGACCCGACUGCUAUCAGAGUGAGAUUAAGCCAUGCGAGUUAACGUAGCAAUACGUGGCGCACGGCUCAGUAACACGUAGUCAACAUGCCCAGAGGACGUGGAUAACCUCGGGAAACUGAGUCUAAACCGCGAUAAGUGAGGAUUUCUGGAAUGGUUCCUGACUAAAAUCUAUAUGGCCUCUGGAUUGGACUGCGGCCGAUCAGGCUGUUGGUGAGGUAAUGGCCCACCAAACCUGUAACCGGUACGGGCUCUGAGAGGAGGAGCCCGGAGAUGGGCACUGAGACAAGGGCCCAGGCCCUAUGGGGCGCAGCAGGCGCGAAACCUCUGCAAUAGGCGAAAGCCUGACAGGGUUACUCUGAGUGACUUUCGCUAAGAAAGUCUUUUGGCACCUCUAAAAAGGGUGCAGAAUAAGGGGUGGGCAAGUCUGGUGUCAGCCGCCGCGGUAAUACCAGCACCCCGAGUGGUCGGGACGAUUAUUGGGCCUAAAGCAUCCGUAGCCGGUUCUGCAAGUCCCCCGUUAAAUCCAGCUGCUCAACAGAUGGGCCGCGGAGGAUACUACAGAGCUAGGAGGCAGGAGAGGCAAGCGGUACUCAGUGGGUAGGGGUAAAAUCCGUUGAUCCAUUGAAGACCACCAGUGGCGAAGGCGGCUUGCCAGAAUGCGCUCGACGGUGAGGGAUGAAAGCUGGGGGAGCAAACCGGAUUAGAUACCCGGGUAGUCCCAGCCGUAAACGAUGCAGACUCGGUGAUGGGUUGGCUUCGCGCUAACCCAGUGCCGCAGGGAAGCCGUUAAGUCUGCCGCCUGGGUAGUACGGUCGCAAGACUGAAACUUAAAGGAAUGGCGGGGGAGCA